GGUUCAUUUGUUUUUUUUUUUCUUUUUCAACUUUAGAAAGAUACAUAUACUAUCUUCCUUCUAAAACUACACGAUCAUGCUAACUUUCUGUCAUACUCCAGAAAAAAGCUUGGCUUGCAAUGUUUUAUAUGUGAAUACCUACUGGAAUUGCUCUUGGAUACGUUUAUGGUGGAUUUGUUGGGGGCUAUUUUCAUUGGCGUUAUGCAUUAUGGGGAGAGGCAUUGUUGAUGCUUCUAUUUGCUGUUUUGGGCUUCGUGGUUAAACUUUUGCAGUUGAAAGGUUUCUCUCCUGUUGAAUCCAGAAAAACAUUAACAUCUGUGGAGACUGUUUCUUCCGUAAUUGAUGGUACGUGUUCCUUAUAGUGUUUUUAU
Molecule: long non-coding RNA, 371 nt
Organism: Hibiscus syriacus
Lineage: Eukaryota; Viridiplantae; Streptophyta; Magnoliopsida; Malvales; Malvaceae
Exons: 3
Source: RefSeq, a predicted model, not a curated record